RNAcentral lists this ribosomal RNA (443 nucleotides) under uncultured Arcobacter sp. Its description in RNAcentral is "bacterial SSU rRNA". It matches the Rfam family "Bacterial small subunit ribosomal RNA", at positions 335 to 796 of the family's 1533-position model. Lineage: Bacteria; Pseudomonadati; Campylobacterota; Epsilonproteobacteria; Campylobacterales; Arcobacteraceae. The record is from RNAcentral.
GCCCUACGGGAGGCAGCAGUGGGGAAUAUUGCACAAUGGACGAAAGUCUGAUGCAGCAACGCCGCGUGGAGGAUGACACAUUUCGGUGCGUAAACUCCUUUUAUAUAAGAAGAUAAUGACGGUAUUAUAUGAAUAAGCACCGGCUAACUCCGUGCCAGCAGCCGCGGUAAUACGGGGGGUGCAAGCGUUACUCGGAAUCACUGGGCGUAAAGAGCAUGUAGGCGGAUUGAUAAGUUUGAAGUGAAAUCCUAUAGCUUAACUAUAGAACUGCUUUGAAAACUGUUAAUCUAGAAUGUGGGAGAGGUAGAUGGAAUUUCUGGUGUAGGGGUAAAAUCCGUAGAGAUCAGAAGGAAUACCGAUUGCGAAGGCGAUCUACUGGAACAUUAUUGACGCUGAGAUGCGAAAGCGUGGGGAGCAAACAGGAUUAGAUACCCGUGUAGUCA